UGGGGGAAUAUUGGGCAAUGGGCGAAAGCCUGACCCAGCAACGCCGCGUGAAGGAAGAAGGUUUUCGGAUCGUAAACUUCUAUCCUUGGUGAAAAUAAUGAUGGUAGCCAAGAAGGAAGCCCCGGCUAACUACGUGCCAGCAGCCGCGGUAAUACGUAGGGGCAAGCGUUGUCCGGAAUGAUUGGGCGUAAAGGGCGCGUAGGCGGCCAACUAAGUCUGAAGUGAAACUCCUGCUUUUAAGGCAGGAACUGCUUUGGAUACUGGAUGGCUUGAGUGCAGGAGAGGUAAGCGGAAUUCCCGGUGUAGCGGUGAAAUGCGUAGAG
This 323-nucleotide ribosomal RNA is filed under the name uncultured bacterium. RNAcentral describes it as "bacterial SSU rRNA". It matches the Rfam family "Bacterial small subunit ribosomal RNA", at positions 354 to 695 of the family's 1533-position model. The record is from RNAcentral.